RNAcentral lists this ribosomal RNA (376 nucleotides) under uncultured bacterium. RNAcentral describes it as "bacterial SSU rRNA". It matches the Rfam family "Bacterial small subunit ribosomal RNA", at positions 30 to 416 of the family's 1533-position model. The record is from RNAcentral.
CCUGAACGCUGGCGGCGUGGCUAAGACAUGCAAGUCGUACGGGGCCGCAAGGCCCAGUGGCGAACGGGUGAGUAAUGAAUCGCUAAUGUGCCCCGGACUCAGGGAUAGCCGCUCGAAAGGGCGGGUAAUACCUGAUGACAUAACCCUGUCGCAUGGCAGGGUUCUCAAAGGUCCGCCGGUCUGGGAGCAGGCGAUUUCGUAUCAGCUAGUUGGUGAGGUAACGGCUCACCAAGGCGACGACGCGUAGCCGGACUGAGAGGUUGGCCGGCCACAUUGGGACUGAGACACUGCCCAGACUCCUACGGGGGCUGCAGUAACGAAUCUUCCGCAAUGCACGAAAGUGUGACGGAGCGACGCCGCGUGUGGGACGAAGUCC